This 254-nucleotide ribosomal RNA is filed under the name uncultured bacterium. RNAcentral's name for it is "partial 16S ribosomal RNA". It matches the Rfam family "Bacterial small subunit ribosomal RNA", at positions 524 to 776 of the family's 1533-position model. The record is from RNAcentral.
UACGUAGGCAGCAAGUGUUGUUCGGAUUUACUGGGCGUAAAGGGCGCGUAGGCGGCCAGCACAAGUCAGUUGUGAAAUCUCCGAGCUUAACUCGGAAAGGUCAACUGAUACUGUGCGGCUAGAGUGCGGAAGGGGCAACUGGAAUUCUUGGUGUAGCGGUGAAAUGCGUAGAUAUCAAGAGGAACACCUGCGGCGAAGGCGGGUUGCUGGGCCGACACUGACGCUGAUGCGCGAAAGCUAGGGGAGCGAACGGG